AUUGAAUCUUGACCACAGGUCAGGUUUGACGUGGCGACGAGCGCUGCACCACACACACACCACCACCUCCUGUGGAUCAUGUCGAUGUCGACAAUGGAUUUAAAGACAAAAACGGUAAACAGUAAGCACUAGUAUUAGCUACCACUGCCUAUACGCCAAGCAUUGCAUUGCCCAUUUGGCGCGCGCCCGAAGGAAAAUGAGGAGGGGCGGAGCUCUCUCUUUCUCCGUUUUGUAUAUGACAUGCCAACCUUUACCCUCUUCUCUCUCUCCUCUCCUUCUUCUUCCACUUCCAUCACAGUAGCAGCAGCACCAAGGAACAAGAAGCCCCACCACCCCUCAAAGGAUUCUGAACAGAGAGCCCCAAGGAUAACAUCAAAUGUGAAACAAAACCUGCAGUUUUUAAGGAUUUGGAAGGAAUUUCAGCGACAAAAGUCAAAUACACCGAAACCUGCAACCAGUUAUCGCAAAAAGAAAGUACAGAAAGAGGAGCUUCCGGAUGACAAGGAGCUUUAUCAAGACCCCACUACGGCACUAUACUAUACGAACCAGGGAUUGGAUACGGCUGUUCCCGUUCUGCUUGUUGAUGGUUACAAUGUAUGUGGGUACUGGGCAAAGCUGAAGAAGCACUUUGCAGGAGGAAGACUUGAUAUCGCCCGCCAAAAGCUCAUUGAUGAAUUAAUAACAUUCAGUUUGAUGAAAGUUCAAGCUUUCAAAAAUCGCUUGCUUUUCUUAGUUCCCAUAAAAGAGGUAAAAGUGGUGGUGGUCUUUGAUGCCAUGAUGUCAAGCUUGCCGACCCACAAGGAAAACUUUGCAGGGAUUGAUGUGAUUUUUACAGGUGAUAGUUGUGCUGAUGCAUGGAUUGAGAAAGAGGUAGUAGCUUUGAAGGAGGAUGGCUGCCCCAAAGUUUGGGUUGUGACGUCGGAUCACUGUCAACAGCAUGCAGCAUAUGGAGCUGUAUGUCCUCUCUAGGGCAUGGAGCUUUUGUGUGGAGUUGCAAGGCAUUGAUUUCAGAGAUAAAGGCUUCCCAAAAGGACUUUGAACAGCUACUUCAGGAACAAAGGUGAAAACUCGCUUAAAAAGAAAACUCUCGCUUUGUGGCACUGCUUGUUAAGAUUAUUGUGGUCCUCUAAUUGUGUAGGCCUGUUCUCUUAAAUCCUACUGCUCAACCUCAGUUCAGGGGAAACUGCUGCAGCACAAUCUAGAUCCUGAAGUUGUUUCUGCUCUCAAGGGUCUUAAGAAGCAGCUUGUUGAAAAGGAAUCAAAGUAGUCUGUGGUUUCUCUAUGUUGGUUGUGGCCCUCAAUUGCAAAAGAAAUUUAUCUCAUGAAUUAAUUGUGCAUUUAUUUGUCAUAAGGAUAUUUACAUUUCACAUGGAAGAGUUGUUUUCAUUUAAAUCAUAGGGAAGAAAAUGGAUUUCAUGAAGCUUGGUGAUUGUGGGAGAGAGAUGAAGGUCCUUGGUUUUUUCUUGCUCCACUUCUCUUAUUUUGGCCCAAACACUCUUUCUGAAAUUAUGAGGCCCCACUUAGUGGUCCUUUCUUUUUGAUUA
Molecule: RNA transcript, 1544 nt
Organism: Amborella trichopoda
Lineage: Eukaryota; Viridiplantae; Streptophyta; Magnoliopsida; Amborellales; Amborellaceae
Gene name: yacP-like NYN domain protein
Source: RefSeq, a predicted model, not a curated record